UACGUAGGGUGCAAGCGUUGUCCGGAAUUAUUGGGCGUAAAGAGCUCGUAGGCGGUUUGUUGCGUCGGCUGUGAAAUCCCGAGGCUCAACCUCGGGUCUGCAGUCGAUACGAGCAAACUAGAGUGUUGCAGGGGAGACUGGAAUUCCUGGUGUAGCGGUGAAAUGCGUAGAUAUCGGAAGGAACAUCAGUGGCGAAGGCGACUUCCUGGACCAAUACUGACGCUCAGGUGCGAAAGCGUGGGGAGCAAACAGG
RNAcentral lists this ribosomal RNA (253 nucleotides) under uncultured bacterium. RNAcentral's name for it is "partial 16S ribosomal RNA". It matches the Rfam family "Bacterial small subunit ribosomal RNA", at positions 524 to 776 of the family's 1533-position model. The record is from RNAcentral.